CUAAAAAUUGAACAAAAUUGAACGAGUAGAGAUGAGUAAACAAAAGAAGCAGAAAUGACGUCAUGUUAGCAAGAGCUAAACAAUAACACUCAUAACACAGAAAAAUUUCGGACAAAACUUGCUUUCCCCCUUCUUGCCAACUUCGGACACUACAUCUUCUCCUUCUCUCUACUAUCAUUUUGCUGAAAUUAUCCAAAAAAUCAUUUUAACCCACCAUUUUCAUCCGUAAUUUGAGCUACCCAAAAGAUUUGUGUAGCUUUAGUGGAGUUGUAGAUAGCAAAAAUCCCUAAUUCCGCCGCCGCUCUCCCUGUAGUUACCGUUGUCCCUCUUGAGAAUGAAAUGGAGGCCGACGCCAACUCCCUCCCUCUGCCUGACGUCAUGAAAGCCCCAAUCCGGCCAGACAUCGUCCAAGACGUUCAUCGCGCGACAUCUCCAAGAACUCUCGCCAAGCUACGCCGUCUUUAGGCCCGCUGGCCACCAGACCUUCGUCGAGUCCUGGGGUACUGGUCGCACUGUUUCCCGUAUCUCUUGUGUCCCUGGCGGCGGCACUCACCGUGCAGGCCAGGGUGCUUAUGACAACAUGUGUCGCGGCGGCCGCAUGUUUGCUCUGACCAAGAUCUAGCGCCGUUGGCACCGCAAGGUCCCAGUCAACAAGAAUCGCAAGCUGGAGUUCACCUUCUAGACGGCCUUUUGUUGAUCGUGUAUCAUUAGUUGAAGAGCUGAUCUCAAAUUGAAGAAAACUUCCCAACUUGUGGAAUUGCUGGAAGAGAGUAUGGUUGCACUAGUUAAUGAAAUUGUAAUCAUGUGCAAGUAAGAUGAUGCACAUGAUUCUGUUGUGAGUUCUUUGUUUUUCGGUGAACCAUGAUGCAUAUAAUACUUGCCAUCCUCUUAUUCCAAUUGUUGAUGGCUUUUCUGUUAUGGUCAUAGCUUGAAUUCUGUUGUCUCUGAGUCAUCAACUCUUUCCAUCUUUCCUCCUAUUGAAGUUUUGGAUAUUUAUGCUGUCACUAGACAAAUUGAUGACUAUAGAAUCGACAAGAAUGCUGCCAAUGUUAAAAUGAGCUACAUAAUUUCUAAGUGUGGUAGAGAAAUCAUAGGAGGCUUUCUUUGAACAUUUGUAUUUCGAACUUCAGCAGAGGAGGCUUUCUCUGAACGCUUGGAUUUCAAAUUUCAGCUUCAGGCAAACAUACAGCUGGGCCAAAUUCAGCUGCUAACACUUCGAGUUUUGGUGGACUGAAUCAUGGUUUAUGUUGCCACCUAGUUUUUUACUCCUUUACAUUAUUUGAAAUUUUUUUUUUUGCCCUUUUAAUACUUCACAGAUUAUCAAGAUGUUCAAUGGGAACAAUUUUGGUAAAAGAUUGAUACUUUGUUCUAGUGUACUGUGGAACCAUAAUUUUAUUCUGAUAUUCAAUUUUAUUAUAUUUGAGCAGGAUAAGUAUUGUAUCAUCAAAAGAUUGAUUUCUGGCCUUUAUUAGUGACUUUUGUGCGACACAAUUUUAUGUUGCAAUAACAUUAUGGAGAUUUUUUGUGGUGCAUUUUUUGUGCCGCAAGUAGAGGGGCGACACUCAAACUAGUGCCGCAAAAAGCGACGCAAAUACAUGCGACAUACCCAAAAAUUGUGUCGUUUUCUUUUGUAACGGCUACUUUUGUGACACAAUUGAAUUCUGUCGCAUACCUUUUUGCGGCAGUUUUCUGAUUUCUUGCAGCAGAAUUCUGGCAUCACAAAAAGUUAAGGAGCUUGCGAGAAGAUUAAUUGAAGAGCAGGAACAUAACUUAGAGGAUAUUUCACUUCGUUAGAAGGAACUUCUCACCCAUAGAGUACAAUGCUAUUAAAUGCUCUUGAGGAGAUGAAAAAGGUUGGCUUUUGGAUAUGCUCAUGAAGAUGACUUCAGUUUGACACAAAUUGCUGCUUUAGUCUAUGUUUUUGUUUGGAAAGAGUACUUUGUUUUUUUGGAUGCGUAAUGGCUGUUACUAGUUGAACUGAUGUGAACUUAAUACUCUAUUGUUUAGAUGGAUAAUGGCUGUUAGUACUUGAACUAAUGUGGGCUUUGGAACCCAUUUUGGUUAAUAUGUGUUUUGAUGAAUUUAGAGAUGUUUAUAACCAUAUAUAUAUUUGAGGGUUCAUUGUACAUUAA
Coffea arabica (coffee) is the source of this 2132-nucleotide non-coding RNA. Lineage: Eukaryota; Viridiplantae; Streptophyta; Magnoliopsida; Gentianales; Rubiaceae. The record is from RefSeq and is a predicted model, not a curated record.